RNAcentral lists this ribosomal RNA (500 nucleotides) under uncultured bacterium. RNAcentral's name for it is "partial 16S ribosomal RNA". It matches the Rfam family "Bacterial small subunit ribosomal RNA", at positions 899 to 1397 of the family's 1533-position model. The record is from RNAcentral.
ACUCAAAUGAAUUGACGGGGGCCCGCACAAGCGGUGGAUCAUGUGGUUUAAUUCGAAGCAACGCGAAGAACCUUACCUGGGUUUGACAUCCUCUGACAUCCGUAGAGAUACGGCUUCUGUAGCAAUACAGCAGAGAGACAGGUGCUGCAUGGCUGUCGUCAGCUCGUGUGGUGACAUGUUGGGUUAAGUCCCGCAACGAGCGCAACCCCUGUCCUUAGUUGCCAUCAUUAAGUUGGGCACUCUAAGGAGACUGCCGUGGUUAACACGGAGGAAGGUGGGGAUGACGUCAAGUCCUCAUGGCCCUUACAUCCAGGGCGACACACGUGAUACAAUGGACGACACAAAGAGAAGCGAGGGGGAGACCCGGAGCCAAUCUCAAAAAGUCGUUCUCAGUUCGGAUUGAAGUCUGCAACUCGACUUCAUGAAGGUGGAAUCGCUAGUAAUCGCGGAUCAGCAUUGCCGCGGUGAAUACGUUCCCGGGCCUUGCACACACCGCCCGU